GAUCCUGGCUCAGAUUGAACGCUGGCGGCAUGCCUUACACAUGCAAGUCGAACGGUAGCAGGUCUUCGGACGCUGACGAGUGGCGAACGGGUGAGUAAUACAUCGGAACGUGCCCAGUCGUGGGGGGUAACUACUCGAAAGAGUAGCUAAUACCGCAUACGAUCUGAGGAUGAAAGCGGGGGACCUUCGGGCCUCGCGCGAUUGGAGCGGCCGAUGGCAGAUUAGGUAUUGGUGGGAUAAAAG
Molecule: ribosomal RNA, 243 nt
Filed under: uncultured bacterium
Lineage: Bacteria
Description: partial 16S ribosomal RNA
Rfam family: Bacterial small subunit ribosomal RNA
Source: RNAcentral